Long non-coding RNA from Clupea harengus (Atlantic herring), 1367 nucleotides. RefSeq lists it as uncharacterized. The transcript is spliced from 4 exons. Lineage: Eukaryota; Metazoa; Chordata; Actinopteri; Clupeiformes; Clupeidae. The record is from RefSeq and is a predicted model, not a curated record.
GUACACACCACUUCCAGGAGGAGGGACAUGCCGGUGAGCAGCCAAUCAGCAGCAUCGACAGUUGAUAGCCAGAUGCAAACGAAUGCUGAGUGGAAACCUCAACGUUUGUCUGCGUGGAUGCCAUAUUGGAGCGGCGAAGAUCCGCUAUAAAAAGCACACCUGAGGAAGCAGGAAGGAAGUGCAUGUGUGGGACACCAGGGAGACUUUACUGGCAGGUGGAAAAGCCAUGUGCCAAACAAAAGGAUAACUGGAGGAAUUCUGUAAGCAGCCUGUGAAAAUCAACAACCCAACUUCUGACCUGGACCGCCUGCAUGACAAGCACAACCUCCCCUAUGUGAACAGCCAGACUGUGCGGAGAAUAUUUGAGAGGGAAGCUAACCGCUUCUUGGAUGAGCCUCAGAAGGCAUUGGUGUCUGACUACCUGGCCCAUUGUGGCAACACAGCUGUAAAACAUGACCGCAUGAAAAAUCGUGGGGCAGUUGUGAUGGCCGCUGAUAUAUUGACCAGGAUGGGUGAGAUGUCAAGUGCCAGGCCUUCUGGAGAAGGGGCCAGUCGUGAGCUGUUUGGAGAAGGGAAUAUUCUUCAAUCCGAAGAGUCCUCCAGCCAUGGUGACCAUUGUGCUGUCCUCUCCUUGAAACAGCCAUUGAUACAUUUGCACAAGCUCCCAGAGGAGAAUGAAAAGGUCAGGUUCCACUAGGCAUUCAAUAGCCUCUUGGAAAACCACCCUGUUACACUGAGUGGGAAACAGCCGGAAGUGAAAGAGCGCAGGGAUGUCUCAAGACAAGCAGCGGAAGCUCUACACACACACUGGGGGGCUGCGCAAUUGCAAAUGCGUGUAAACCAUACCCAUGCUGAAACAAUUCAGUCGGCGUAUGCCAACCAAAGAUCGGGUCGAGGCAUGGGUAAGAAAGCAGGGAUGGAAGGGGAUGACUGCCAACAUAGCCAUGGAAGUUAUCCAGAACUGGCCACCAUCUGGAUCUGAUGACUGUAUUAUGGACAGCAAACAGAUCCAGACAAUGGUGGGAACGCAGCAGUGGAAAGGACUUCACAUUAGGGAAGUUACAGGAGGGGGCAGAGGGAUCGUCACGACCCGAAUAUUUCAGGCUGGUGAGGUUGUCUGCGAUUACCAUGGACCUGUGGUUAGUAAGAAGGACUGCGAGGAAAUUCACUGACGCACCAACGAAAAGGAGACUGGGUAUUGCUUCUUUUUCAAGAAUAGCAAAGGGCUGUCAAUGUGCAUUGAUGCCCAUUCAGAGACUUGUCAUUGCCACCCUGGGAUGCAGACUGUUGGCAGGCUUAUCAAUCACUCAAAAAGGGACACCAACAUUAAGCCCAUGCAUUUUGCAGUGGAAAUGGAUGGAGAAGAA